CUGUCGCAUAUACAAUAUCACCUUUCUGUAAAUUAGAAGUGCGUGGUUUUUGGACCGAGAAUAAAAAAAAAACGAUUUGUGGCUAAACGAUAACACUCACGCACUCAAAACCAUAUAGUCGCUGAAUAUAUAAACGCCCCGCCAUGUCGAAAACACCGAAACUUUUGAAGCAACCGAUAAGAACUAGAGGCAUUCAACAACGAACAUGUUAAGUAUGGAGAUUGCUGUUUAGAAACAAAAUGGAGCAAAGUGCAGGAAUUAGUGUGAGAAAUUUAGUCAUGCGCGGAAAAUUAUUUCCUUCGCUAGCAAAAUGUCAUUGCCGCGUGAGGCAUCCCGAUUUUUAUCAUCCUAGGCCCAUAUUAUUAUAUAAUUACAAGUCACGCAACCGAAAGGCAUGGCCCUCUUCCUGUGCCCCAUGGAGGUGGGGCAGUUUUUACGACGAAAAAAUUUUAUAUUAAGUAUGAAUUCAAUUGUUUUUUUUUGACACCAUAAAAUAUGAAGGAUUUGCAUGUGGAUAAUAAUUAACAAUGUAACGCGGUGUUACUUUGAAUUUUAUUUAUAGAUUAACGUAACUUUUAAUAUUUACUUUACAAUAACAUGUACAAAACUAAAAACAAAUAUUUAUAAAAAUAACAAAAAAAAAAUUUAAUCACAGAUCUCAUGAUGUAAUGUUCAUUGCUUUUUAAUUACUAACAUCUCUAAACAAAUAUAUUCAGCAUAUUCUAAAUAUUAUAGGCCUAUAUCUCUAAACAAUCCUGGAUAUCCUGGAAAUAUAUAAUAUAUAACAUCCAAGUGUUAUUAUAUUGGACUGGAUAUAGGUAUAAAGAGGUCGUAUAACUGUUCCAUUGUGUUGAAGAGCAAGACACCUUUUGGAAGUAAUUGCUUGCUGACAUUACAGUGCUGGUACAUUUUUUACAAUUUGUGUAUAUCAAAAAGUGCCAUAUCCAAAAAAAAACAAUUCGACUGACUGAUUUGGAUAUGCAUAUAAUUUAAGGGAAAAAGACAUUAAAAAUGAAUUUAUUUUCAAAUCAAAAUGUACGAAUAUGUUUUCCACAGAAGAUUAUAUAUAAAUCUUUAUACUUAUUUUUAAAGCAUCAAAAUUUGCUUCCAGCGAAUUGCAAAGCGCGCGCGAUCGGGGCUUUUUUUCUAUUACCAAUUUUAAUGAGACACAAUAAGUAGCUUUCAACAUUUUCCAGUCAAAAUUUAAAAAAAUGAAUUUAUUAUUUUAACAAAAAUUAAUUUGCCAAAUAUGUAUGUAUAUUAUAG
This is a long non-coding RNA of Cylas formicarius (sweet potato weevil), 1266 nucleotides long. RefSeq lists it as uncharacterized. The transcript has 2 exons. Lineage: Eukaryota; Metazoa; Arthropoda; Insecta; Coleoptera; Brentidae. The record is from RefSeq and is a predicted model, not a curated record.